RNAcentral lists this ribosomal RNA (197 nucleotides) under uncultured bacterium. Its description in RNAcentral is "partial 16S ribosomal RNA". It matches the Rfam family "Bacterial small subunit ribosomal RNA", at positions 1304 to 1500 of the family's 1533-position model. The record is from RNAcentral.
GCUGCAACUCGCCUGCAUGAAGUCGGAAUUGCUAGUAAUGGCAGGUCAGCAUACUGCCGUGAAUACGUUCCCGGGCCUUGUACACACCGCCCGUCACACCAUGAGAGUUGGAAAUACCCGAAGCCUGUGAGCUAACAGUAAUGAGGCAGCAGUCGAAGGUAGAGCCAAUGAUUGGGGUGAAGUCGUAACAAGGUACC